This 550-nucleotide ribosomal RNA is filed under the name uncultured organism. RNAcentral describes it as "bacterial SSU rRNA". It matches the Rfam family "Bacterial small subunit ribosomal RNA", at positions 936 to 1471 of the family's 1533-position model. The record is from RNAcentral.
AGCAUGUGGAUUAAUUGGAAGCAACGCGCAGAGCCUUACUAUGGUGUUUGACAUGCUUGGAUAGACUGCCUGGAAACAGGUUAGUAUCCCCUUCGGGGUGAAACUUGCACAGGUGCUGCAUGGCUGUUGUCAGAUCGUGUCGUGAGAUGUCGGGUUAAGUCCUUUAACGAGCGAAACCCUUACCGUUCGUUGCCAGCGGGUAAUGCCGGGUACUCUAACGGGACUUCCGGUGUCAAACCGGAGGAAGGUGGGGACGACGUCAAGUCAUCAUGGCCUUUAUGCCCUGGGCCUCACACGUGCUACAAAGGCGGCGACAAAGCGACGCGAGACCGCGAGGUGGAGCAAAUCGCAAAAACGUCGCCUCAGUUGGGAUUGCAGGCUGGCAAUUCGCCUGCAUGAAGUUGGAAUCGCUAGUAAUCGCGUAUCAGUUAUGACGCGGUGAAUGUGUUCUUGAGCCUUGUACACACCGCCCGUCAAGUGAUGGGAGUUGGGAGUACCCGAAGUCGGUUUGCCAACCCGUAAGGGACGUGGCUGCCUACGGUAAGCCCGA